AAGGAUUUCGUAGGUGAACCUGCGGAAGGAUCAUUGGCACCCGUGAAUUUUUUAUCGUGCUCUUGCAUCCUCCCAAUCAGGAAUCUCUGGUAAAUCACGUCGAACGGUUCAGAGACCUCUGUGUGGAUGACUGCUGCUAAAGGUGCAAUCGAUCGCUAGGAUCAGUGGUUUGUGUUUCCCCUAUUAAGUGUUAGGCUCACACGAGCCGGCGUCCAAAUCAACGGGCGCAAACCCCCCUAAAACCACAUGUCAACGUAGGCCCUUCUGUCGUGGUUGGGCGUAAGAACAACUGUUAACAAUGGAUAUCUUGGUUCUC
This 316-nucleotide unclassified non-coding RNA is filed under the name fungal sp. Its description in RNAcentral is "partial internal transcribed spacer region". The record is from RNAcentral. Lineage: Eukaryota; Fungi.